Molecule: non-coding RNA, 218 nt
Filed under: Paenibacillus sp.
Lineage: Bacteria; Bacillati; Bacillota; Bacilli; Caryophanales; Paenibacillaceae
Description: T-box sequence
Rfam family: T-box leader
About the family: Uncharged tRNA acts as the effector for transcription antitermination of genes in the T-box leader family.
Source: RNAcentral
UCAUUUUCUUUGAAUGGGAGAGUAGCUGCAGACCUUAGUCCAAGCGAGCCGGAACAAGUGAGAACCGGUACAAGGUCGGCCGUGAAACGGACCCAGGAGAUGGUCUUCCGAAAUCCAGCGUAGGAAGCCCCGGCUCACACCGUUAUCGUGUUAAGGUGGCUGAAACCAAAGUUUCAGCAACAAGAGUGGUACCGCGAGUUCAAGUCCUCGUCUCUUUA